UACCGGCGGCUCGAGUGGUGGCCGAUAUUAUUGAGUCUAAAGGGUCCGUAGCCGGCUUAGUUAGUCUUUUGGGAAAUCCAGCGGCUUAAUCGUUGGGCGUCCAUGAGAUACUGCUUUGCUUGGGACUGGGAGAGGUAGGAGGUACUCAAGGGGUAGGAGUGAAAUCCUGUAAUCCUUUGGGGACCACCGGUGGCGAAGGCGUCCUACCAGAACAGGUCCGACGGUGAGGGACGAAAGCUAGGGGCACGAACCGG
Molecule: ribosomal RNA, 254 nt
Filed under: uncultured Methanocella sp.
Lineage: Archaea; Methanobacteriati; Methanobacteriota; Methanomicrobia; Methanocellales; Methanocellaceae
Description: partial 16S ribosomal RNA
Rfam family: Archaeal small subunit ribosomal RNA
Source: RNAcentral